UACGUAGGGCGCAAGCGUUGUCCGGAAUUAUUGGGCGUAAAGAGCUCGUAGGCGGCUUGUCACGUCGGGUGUGAAAGCCCGGGGCUUAACCCCGGGUCUGCAUUCGAUACGGGCAGGCUAGAGUGUGGUAGGGGAGAUCGGAAUUCCUGGUGUAGCGGUGAAAUGCGCAGAUAUCAGGAGGAACACCGGUGGCGAAGGCGGGUCUCUGGGCCGUUACUGACGCUGAGGAGCGAAAGCGUGGGGAGCGAACAGG
Molecule: ribosomal RNA, 253 nt
Filed under: uncultured bacterium
Lineage: Bacteria
Description: partial 16S ribosomal RNA
Rfam family: Bacterial small subunit ribosomal RNA
Source: RNAcentral